Non-coding RNA from Schistosoma mattheei, 46 nucleotides. Lineage: Eukaryota; Metazoa; Platyhelminthes; Trematoda; Strigeidida; Schistosomatidae. The record is from Rfam.
UCACCGGUUCUCUUUAGAACCACAAGAGUAGAAUUUUGAAGCUAGU